GGAAUAUUGGACAAUGGGGGCAACCCUGAUCCAGCAAUGCCGCGUGUGUGAAGAAGGCCUGCGGGUUGUAAAGCACUUUCGUUGGGGAGGAGAGUGUGUUGUUUAAUAGAUGACACAUGAGACGUUACCCAAAUAAGAAGCACCGGCUAACUCUGUGCAAGCAGCCGCGGUAAUACAGAGGGUGCAAGCGUUAAUCGGAAUUACUGGGCGUAAAGCGCACGUAGGUGGAUAUAUAAGUUGGAUGUGAAAGCCCUGGGCUUAACCUGGGAAAGUCAUCCGAGACUGUGUAUCUAGAGUACUGUAGAGGGAAGUGGAAUUUCCGGUGUAGCGGUGAAAUGCGUAGAUAUCGGAAGGAACACCAGUGGCGAAGGCGGCUUCCUGGACAGAUACUGACACUGAGGAGCGAAAGCGUGGGGAGCAAAC
This 423-nucleotide ribosomal RNA is filed under the name uncultured bacterium. RNAcentral's name for it is "bacterial SSU rRNA". It matches the Rfam family "Bacterial small subunit ribosomal RNA", at positions 358 to 773 of the family's 1533-position model. The record is from RNAcentral.